GACGAACGCUGGCGGCGUGCUUAACACAUGCAAGUCGAACGGAAAGGCCCUGCUUUUGUGGGGUGCUCGAGUGGCGAACGGGUGAGUAACACGUGAGUAACCUGCCAUUGACUUUGGGAUAACUUCAGGAAACUGGGGCUAAUACCGGAUAGGAGCUCCUGCUGCAUGGUGGGGGUUGGAAAGUUUCGGCGGUUGGGGAUGGACUCGCGGAUUAUCAGCUUGUGGGUGGGGUAGUGGCUUACCAAGGCUUUGACGGGUAGACGGCCUGGGCGGGUGACCGGCCACAUUGGGACUGAGAUACGGCCCAGACUCCUACGGGAGGCAGCAGUGGAGAAUAUUGCACAAUGGGCUGAAGCCUGAUGCAGCAACGCCGCGUGCGGUAUGACGGCCUUCGGGUUGUAUACCGCUUUCGCCUGUGACGAAGCGUGAGUGACGGUAAUGGGUAAAGAAGCACCGGCUAACUACGUG
RNAcentral lists this ribosomal RNA (468 nucleotides) under uncultured bacterium. RNAcentral's name for it is "partial 16S ribosomal RNA". It matches the Rfam family "Bacterial small subunit ribosomal RNA", at positions 28 to 507 of the family's 1533-position model. The record is from RNAcentral.